UUAUCAUUUAUUAUUAGUAUUUUUUUACCUGGGGCCCCAGGAAUCAUUUUGAAGUACAAAGGAUCAAAAGUUAAGUAUCAUUCCAUUACACACUAUAUGUAUUAACUUUUUUGUUAAGGUAUUUAAAAAGUAGCUGUUUGAAAGACUAAAGAUCUUACAGUAUAGAAUCAAUAGUGUCAUGUUAAACUUUCUCCUUGUUCAAGAUUUUAGUCCCAAGUUCCUGUUAAAGAUUGAAGUCCAUUCAAAGUCAGUCUCAAUAUAUUUUGUUAACUCUAUUCCUUUAGUGUGGGCAGCAAUGUAGUGCUGCCUCCACAUGGCGCUGCCUGGGAUCACUAGUGGCUACUACUGCUAGUGAUGCUAAGAGCACUACACUCAAGAAGAGAAUAAAUACUAACAGUUAAUGACAUUAAAUGGAUAAGUACAAUUCUCUGCUAUUGAAGACUACUUUAAGAAUAUUUAGUUGUAUUAUAUCAUAUUUAAAUAUUAACUCACUAAGCAUUAUAAUGAUUUGUUUUUCUUGCUACUGA
This is a long non-coding RNA of Amphimedon queenslandica, 527 nucleotides long. RefSeq lists it as uncharacterized. NCBI's taxonomy places the organism in Eukaryota, Metazoa, Porifera, Demospongiae, Haplosclerida, Niphatidae. The record is from RefSeq and is a predicted model, not a curated record. The transcript has 2 exons.